UGCAAGUGAUGAAUGGCAAGGGACUUAACAGUGAAACCUCAUGCUGCAGUGCAAUAUGAUGACAUGC
Small nucleolar RNA from Nannospalax galili (Upper Galilee mountains blind mole rat), 67 nucleotides. RefSeq annotates it as small nucleolar RNA SNORD82. The transcript has a single exon. NCBI's taxonomy places the organism in Eukaryota, Metazoa, Chordata, Mammalia, Rodentia, Spalacidae. The record is from RefSeq and is a predicted model, not a curated record.